Molecule: small nuclear RNA, 23 nt
Filed under: Arabidopsis thaliana (thale cress)
Lineage: Eukaryota; Viridiplantae; Streptophyta; Magnoliopsida; Brassicales; Brassicaceae
Description: snRNA_01443
Source: RNAcentral
GCACUUGCACAUGGGUUAGUCGA